Molecule: ribosomal RNA, 497 nt
Filed under: uncultured bacterium
Lineage: Bacteria
Description: partial 16S ribosomal RNA
Rfam family: Bacterial small subunit ribosomal RNA
Source: RNAcentral
GAUGAACGCUGGCGGCGUGCCUAAUACAUGCAAGUCGAGCGAACAGACGAGGAGCUUGCUCCUCUGACGUUAGCGGCGGACGGGUGAGUAACACGUGGAUAACCUACCUAUAAGACUGGGAUAACUUCGGGAAACCGGAGCUAAUACCGGAUGAUAUAUUGAACCGCAUGGUUCAAUAGUGAAAGACGGUUUUGCUGUCACUUAUAGAUGGAUCCGCGCCGCAUUAGCUAGUUGGUAAGGUAACGGCUUACCAAGGCAACGAUGCGUAGCCGACCUGAGAGGGUGGUCGGCCACACUGGAACUGAGACACGGUCCAGACUCCUACGGGAGGCAGCAGUAGGGAAUCUUCCGCAAUGGGCGAAAGCCUGACGGAGCAACGCCGCGUGAGUGAUGAAGGUCUUCGGAUCGUAAAGCUCUGUUAUUAGGGAAGAACAAAUGUGUAAGUAACUAUGCACGUCUUGACGGUACCUAAUCAGAAAGCCACGGCUAACUACGUG